CCGGACUCCUACGGGAGGCUGCAGUAACGAAUAUUCCGCAAUGCACGAAAGUGUGACGGAGCAAUGCCGCGUGCAGGAUGAAUCCCCUCGGGGUGUAAACUGCUGUCAGUGACUAGAAAAAAAAUGAUCAGUCGCAAAGGAAGGACCGGCUAAUCUCGUGCCAGCAGCCGCGGUAAUACGAGAGGUCCGAGCGUUACGCGGAAUUACUGGGCUUAAAGCGUACGUAGGCGGAUCUACAGGUAUCCUGUGAAAGCCCACGGCUCAACCGUGGAAUUGCAGGGUAAACCGUAGAUCUUGAGGUGGCUAGGGGCUCUCGGAACGGUAGGUGGAGUGGUGAAAUGCGUUGAUAUCUACCGGAACGCCAAAGGGGAAGCCAGGGAGCUGGGGCCAUUCUGACGCUGAGGUACGAAAGCGUGGGUAGCGAACGGGAUUAGAUACCCCGGUAGUCCACGCCGUAAACGAUGUGCACUAGGUCGAGGGGGUUUGACGCCGCUCUCGGCUGAAGCGAAAGUGUUAAGUGCACCGCCUGGGGAGUACGGCCGCAAGGCUAAAACUCAAAGGAAUUGACGGGGGCUCACACAAGCGGUGGAGCAUGUGGCUUAAUUCGAAGCAACGCGAAGAACCUUAUCCUGGGUUUGACAUGCAUGGAUUAGCUUCCUGAAAGGGAAGUGACGCGGCUUGCCGUGGAACAUGCACAGGUGCUGCAUGGCUGUCGUCAGCUCGUGCUGUGAAGUGUCGGGUUAAGUCCCUUAACGAGCGCAACCCCUAUCACUAGUUGCUAGCGAGUAAUGUCGAGGACUCUAGUGAGACUGCCGGUGUCAAACCGGAGGAAGGUGGGGAUGACGUCAAGUCCGCAUGGCCUUUAUGCCCAGGGCUGCACACGUGCUACAAUGGUUGGUACAGAACGAAGCAAGACCGCAAGGUGGAGCAAAUCGCUAAAGCCAACCUCAGUUCGGAUUGUGGGCUGAAAUUCGCCCACAUGAAGUUGGAAUCGCUAGUAAUCGGGGAUCAGCUACGCCCCGGUGAAUACGUUCCUGAGCCUUGUACACACCGCCCGUCAAGUCAUGGAAGCUGGUAGUACCCGAAGUCGCCCCAUUUCAGGGGUGCCCACGGUAAGGCCGGUGACUGGGACUAAGUCGUAACAAGGUAGCCGUAGGGGAACCUGCGGCUG
Molecule: ribosomal RNA, 1171 nt
Filed under: marine metagenome
Description: bacterial SSU rRNA
Rfam family: Bacterial small subunit ribosomal RNA
Source: RNAcentral